RNAcentral lists this ribosomal RNA (484 nucleotides) under uncultured bacterium. Its description in RNAcentral is "partial 16S ribosomal RNA". It matches the Rfam family "Bacterial small subunit ribosomal RNA", at positions 28 to 507 of the family's 1533-position model. The record is from RNAcentral.
AUUGAACGCUGGCGGCAUGCUUUACACGUGCAAGUCGAACGGCAGCGCGGGCUUGGGCCUGGCGGCGAGUGGCGAACGGGUGAGUAAUGCAUCGGAACGUGCCCAGUAGUGGGGGAUAGCCCAGCGAAAGCCGGAUUAAUACCGCAUACGACCUGAGGGUGAAAGCGGGGGACCGAAAGGCCUCGCGCUAUUGGAGCGGCCGAUGUCGGAUUAGCUAGUUGGUGGGGUAAAGGCUUACCAAGGCGACGAUCCGUAGCUGGUCUGAGAGGACGACCAGCCACACUGGGACUGAGACACGGCCCAGACUCCUACGGGAGGCAGCAGUGGGGAAUUUUGGACAAUGGGGGCAACCCUGAUCCAGCCAUGCCGCGUGCGGGAAGAAGGCCUUCGGGUUGUAAACCGCUUUUGUUCGGGAAGAAAUCCUCUGGGCUAAUACCCCGGGGGGAUGACGGUACCGGAAGAAUAAGCACCGGCUAACUACGUG